AUAAUCAAUUUGACUGAAAAU
Molecule: microRNA, 21 nt
Filed under: Rosa chinensis
Lineage: Eukaryota; Viridiplantae; Streptophyta; Magnoliopsida; Rosales; Rosaceae
Description: sRNA RchiOBHm_Chr6g0307845
Source: RNAcentral